UACGGAGGGUGCGAACGUUAAUCGGAAUCACUGGGCGUAAAGCGCGCGUAGGCGGUUUGUUAAGUGGGAUGUGAAAGCCCCGGGCUUAACCUGGGAAUUGCAUUUCAAACUAGCGAACUAGAGUGCGGUAGAGGGAGGUAGAAUUUCCUGUGUAGCGGUGAAAUGCGUAGAUAUAGGAAGGAAUACCAGUGGCGAAGGCGGCCUCCUGGAUCGACACUGACGCUAAGGCGCGAAAGCGUGGGGAGCAAACAGG
Molecule: ribosomal RNA, 253 nt
Filed under: uncultured bacterium
Lineage: Bacteria
Description: partial 16S ribosomal RNA
Rfam family: Bacterial small subunit ribosomal RNA
Source: RNAcentral